This 460-nucleotide ribosomal RNA is filed under the name uncultured bacterium. RNAcentral describes it as "bacterial SSU rRNA". It matches the Rfam family "Bacterial small subunit ribosomal RNA", at positions 338 to 795 of the family's 1533-position model. The record is from RNAcentral.
CCUANGGGAGGCAGCAGUGAGGAAUAUUGGUCAAUGGGCGAGAGCCUGAACCAGCCAUCCCGCGUGCAGGAAGAAGGCCCUAUGGGUUGUAAACUGCUUUUACGCAAGAAGAAUGGUACCCUCGUGAGGGUAUUUGACGGUACUGCGUGAAUAAGCACCGGCUAACUCCGUGCCAGCAGCCGCGGUAAUACGGAGGGUGCAAGCGUUAUCCGGAUUUAUUGGGUUUAAAGGGUGCGUAGGCGGUAUUUUAAGUCAGUGGUGAAAUCUUGCAGCUUAACUGUAGAACUGCCAUUGAAACUGAAGUACUUGAGUUAUCUUGAAGUAGGCGGAAUGUGUAGUGUAGCGGUGAAAUGCUUAGAUAUUACACAGAACACCGAUUGCGAAGGCAGCUUACUAAGGGUACACUGACGCUGAGGCACGAAAGCGUGGGGAUCGAACAGGAUUAGAUACCCUGNUANUC